UACGGAGGGUGCAAGCGUUGUUCGGAAUUAUUGGGCGUAAAGCGCGUGUAGGCGGUCUGUUAAGUCUGAUGUGAAAGCCCCGGGCUCAACCCGGGAAGUGCAUUGGAAACUGGCAGACUUGAGUACGGGAGAGGGUAGUGGAAUUUCGAGUGUAGGGGUGAAAUCCGUAGAUAUUCGAAGGAACACCGGUGGCGAAGGCGGCUACCUGGACCGAUACUGACGCUGAGACGCGAAAGCGUGGGGAGCAAACAGG
Molecule: unclassified non-coding RNA, 253 nt
Filed under: uncultured Desulfuromonadaceae bacterium
Lineage: Bacteria; Pseudomonadati; Thermodesulfobacteriota; Desulfuromonadia; Desulfuromonadales; Desulfuromonadaceae
Description: contains 16S-23S intergenic spacer region
Rfam family: Bacterial small subunit ribosomal RNA
Source: RNAcentral